AUUGGUUCUUCUUGUAUUCCCAUUGAUAUAUGUGAUGGGGGUACAGGGGCAACCGAUGU
This 59-nucleotide microRNA precursor is filed under the name Xenoturbella bocki. RNAcentral's name for it is "Xbo-Novel-5_pre stem-loop". The record is from RNAcentral. Lineage: Eukaryota; Metazoa; Xenacoelomorpha; Xenoturbellidae.